RNAcentral lists this ribosomal RNA (227 nucleotides) under uncultured bacterium. Its description in RNAcentral is "partial 16S ribosomal RNA". It matches the Rfam family "Bacterial small subunit ribosomal RNA", at positions 15 to 232 of the family's 1533-position model. The record is from RNAcentral.
GAUAUGGCUCAGGAUGAACGCUAGCUACAGGCUUAACACAUGCAAGUCGAGGGGCAGCAUGGUCUUAGCUUGCUAAGGCUGAUGGCGACCGGCGCACGGGUGAGUAACACGUAUCCAACCUGCCGUCUACUCUUGGCCAGCCUUCUGAAAGGAAGAUUAAUCCAGGAUGGCAUCAUGAGUUCACAUGUCCGCAUGAUUAAAGGUAUUUUCCGGUAGACGAUGGGGGA